RNAcentral lists this ribosomal RNA (488 nucleotides) under uncultured Bacteroidota bacterium. RNAcentral's name for it is "bacterial SSU rRNA". It matches the Rfam family "Bacterial small subunit ribosomal RNA", at positions 355 to 843 of the family's 1533-position model. The record is from RNAcentral. Lineage: Bacteria; Pseudomonadati; Bacteroidota.
UAAGGAAUAUUGGUCAAUGGACGCAAGUCUGAACCAGCCAUGCCGCGUGGAGGAUGAAGGUCCUCUGGAUUGUAAACUUCUUUUAUCUGGGAAGAAAUCCAUUUUUUCUAAAAUGGUUGACGGUACCAGAUGAAUAAGCACCGGCUAACUCCGUGCCAGCAGCCGCGGUAAUACGGAGGGUGCAAGCGUUAUCCGGAUUCACUGGGUUUAAAGGGUGCGUAGGUGGGUAAGUAAGCCAGUGGUGAAAUCUCCGGGCUUAACCCGGAAACUGCCAUUGAUACUAUUUGUCUUGAAUACUGUGGAGGUCAGCGGAAUAUGUCAUGUAGCGGUGAAAUGCUUAGAUAUGACAUAGAACACCAAUUGCGAAGGCAGCUGGCUACACAAAUAUUGACACUGAGGCACGAAAGCGUGGGGAUCAAACAGGAUUAGAUACCCUGGUAGUCCACGCCCUAAACUAUGGAUACUCGACAUUUGCGAUAAACUGCAAG